GGCUGGAGUUCAGACGUGUACUCUGUCUCUGUAAACCCCAAUAACUCUACUAACAAAAUUACUCCCCAGAACACUACAAGCAAUAGCUUGAAACUCAAAGGACCUGGCGGUGCUUUACAUCCGUCUAGAGGAGCCUGUUCUGUAAUUGAUAUACCCCGAUAAACCUCACCACCUCUUGCCCCCAGCCUGUAUACCGCCAUCCUCAGCAAACUCCCUAAAGAUCGUAAAGUAAGCAGAAGUAUUACCAUAAAAACGUUAGGUCAAGGUGCAGCCAAUGAAGUGGAAAGAAAUGGGCUACAUUUUCUAAUCUAGAAAAAUUACACGAUAGCCUUUAUGAAAUUUAAAGGCCCAAGGUGGAUUUAGCAGUAAAUCAAGAAUAGAGAGCUUGACUGAAGCAAGGCCAUUAAGCACGCACACA
Cebus imitator (Panamanian white-faced capuchin) is the source of this 418-nucleotide long non-coding RNA. RefSeq lists it as uncharacterized. The record is from RefSeq and is a predicted model, not a curated record. Lineage: Eukaryota; Metazoa; Chordata; Mammalia; Primates; Cebidae. The transcript has 3 exons.